GGAGGAGUGGCCGAGUGGUCAAAGGCGACGGUUUGCUAAACCGUUCUCGGGUAAACUCCGGGGCGUGGGUUCGAAUCCCACCUCCUCCG
This 89-nucleotide transfer RNA is filed under the name Patescibacteria group bacterium. RNAcentral's name for it is "tRNA-Ser". It matches the Rfam family "tRNA". From Rfam's summary of the family: Transfer RNA (tRNA) molecules are approximately 80 nucleotides in length. Their secondary structure includes four short double-helical elements and three loops (D, anti-codon, and T loops). Further hydrogen bonds mediate the characteristic L-shaped molecular structure. tRNAs have two regions of fundamental functional importance: the anti-codon, which is responsible for specific mRNA codon recognition, and the 3' end, to which the tRNAs corresponding amino acid is attached (by aminoacyl-tRNA synthetases). tRNAs cope with the degeneracy of the genetic code in two manners: having more than one tRNA (with a specific anti-codon) for a particular amino acid; and 'wobble' base-pairing, i.e. permitting non-standard base-pairing at the 3rd anti-codon position. The record is from RNAcentral.